AACGUCAAAUAGUAAUCAUCGUACGGAUAGCUCCAAGAUUCCGAAACAUUGUUCUAUAAAAUGCCGAAGACUGAAGCAGUACGAAACCCGGUAAGUGCUCAUUAGUUUAUGUAUGAGGCUUUGCUCCCAGCCAGAAAGGGAAAGAACUCGUCGACCGUCAUGAUCCAAGGUAACUCCGGUCGCCUACGGUCAACUCUGUUUCCUCCCUUUCUCUGGUCGCUAGCGAAACCGAUGAUUACUCGCCGCCGGCGAUUACGCUUCCACACGCGUACACAGUAACACAGAUGAUAGAUCUGUAGGGUUAAAUGCAUCAAAUGGUCACUUAACUAUACAUAUAUAUAUAUAUAAUAAUAAUGUUCAUCAUCUUCCCUCUUUCACUUAUCGAUUUCUCUCGAUGAGGCUAUGACGAUAACGAUUUUUCGGUGGUUCUCACCGAUCAGAACUUCCGGAGACGGAGAAAGCGUAGAACCAAUAUGUUACCUGGCUGGGCAACAUUUUCACCCGAGCGCGGCUGUAAGCUAAAACCAUUACGGUUUAGGGUUUUCAGCCGUCAUACUCCGGUGUCUAAUGUGCAGCCAUGGCAGCUGGUAAUUUCCUCGCUCAUCUCUGUAUCCUAAUUUCUGAUUAAAGGCGAAUCUGAGCCUCUCUGUUUUCCCUUCUCCUUCUCUCUGUUGUCCAAUGCAUGAGCUCUAUGUUGAAAUUACUUUUGUUGUAAACAAGCAAUGAAUUUGAGGAAUAACCAUGUCUAGAUUUCGGAAUAUGCGACUACUAACAUGAUGUCUACUAUUAGCUUUAAAAUUGCAAUAACUCGCGAUCUGUACAGCUGAACAUUGAAAAUUGGGGAUUUAUAUGGAACGUCAGCUAGAAGUCAAGAGUUCUGAUGGGUCGUUCAGUAAGCUCAGCAACACGCCAGCUGCAGCUGUGAAGGAAAUACAUAUAUUGACAGCAGCCGAGAGACCAGAUGAAUCAGAGGAAGACGGAGGAGCGGCCGCUGGAGGAUUUUCAACUUUGGUCACUGCAGGGAGUGGUGGGUCGCCUUUAUUUUUUACAGAUAGAGAUGGUAUGAUUAGAACACUCUUUUUCAAAGGUUACUUCUAAUUUGUCUUCUCUCUGAGAAAUGGAAGAAGCUUUUGCAUUGAAUGCUUACUCAUAUAUUUGCUUGCAGUUCUCGGGUAUUCUGUUAUGGUUCCAUUGACUCCAAUUUGAUGGAAAUAAGUAGAGAUCUCAACUAUGGGGUCUGCAAAGUAGUCAAAUGCAAGUGUGAUAUAUUCAUUGUAAAGGGUGGAGACGAACACAGACAGGUUUUCACUUUGCAGUGACUGCACUGCAUCUGUGUAAUUGAGUGUGAAUCCUUCGUUAGUUGGAAUGAUUGAGUAUCUUGUCAAGGUGACUGCAUCCGCAUACUUCUUGAUUUCCUUUGCUGUAGCCUUGGGUAUAUCGCUUAUUUCUUCCUUGACCAUGAGAACCCUUUUGUAUCCGCCCACAUUCUUGAACUUAUCUAGCACUGAUGUGUCCUCUGAUUCUAUAAAAACUUUUUGAGUGGACUGCUUGUCGAAUGAGGCCUUACUUAGUGAUGUGCUGACAGUGUUAACAACGUCAAGACCUUUCUUUGAUGCUAGGUAUGCAACAUUCUGCAUGUGGUUGAUGGUGGGUUUGAGCUUUAAAAUCAAUUUGAUCGAAGGCCAUGGUAACAGCUAUCCGUGCGAUGCAUAUAACGACACAGCUGAAGCUGAAGGAGAAAAAUACUUACCUCUAAGCUGAUCAGAAUACCGGGAACAGAUUCCGACUUGGCAAACUCCAGAAAUUUGUCGAGCUUUACGAACUUGCCCUUGUUCACAACUG
Molecule: long non-coding RNA, 1842 nt
Filed under: Linum usitatissimum (flax)
Lineage: Eukaryota; Viridiplantae; Streptophyta; Magnoliopsida; Malpighiales; Linaceae
Description: long non-coding RNA (LUSI_LNC002805)
Source: RNAcentral